GUGAUACAAGGAGCUCAUGCCAGGAAGUAAGUCCUGGCUCAACAGUGAUUCCCUGAAAAGCAUCAGAUACAAAAUUGUCAAUUUUGACCCUAAACUUUUGGAAGGGAAAGUAAAGGAGGAUCCUGACCAGGGGGAAUCCAUGAAACCUUUAACCUUUGCAAGGUUCUACUUGCCAAUUCUGGUUCCCAGCGCAAAGAAGGCCAUAUACAUGGAUGAUGAUGUAAUUGUGCAAGGUGAUAUUCUUGCCCUUUACAAUACACCACUGAAGCCAGGACAUGCAGCUGCAUUUUCAGAAGAUUGUGAUUCAGCCUCUACUAAAGUUGUCAUCCGUGGAGCAGGAAACCAGUACAAUUACAUUGGCUAUCUUGACUAUAAAAAGGAAAGAAUUCGUAAGCUUUCCAUGAAAGCCAGCACUUGCUCAUUUAAUCCUGGAGUUUUUGUUGCAAACCUGACGGAAUGGAAACGACAGAAUAUAACUAACCAACUGGAAAAAUGGAUGAAACUCAAUGUAGAAGAGGGAUUGUAUAGCAGAACCCUGGCUGGUAGCAUCACAACACCUCCUCUGCUUAUCGUAUUUUAUCAACAGCACUCUACCAUCGAUCCUAUGUGGAAUGUCCGCCACCUUGGUUCCAGUGCUGGAAAACGAUAUUCACCUCAGUUUGUAAAGGCUGCCAAGUUACUCCACUGGAAUGGACAUUUUAAGCCAUGGGGAAGGACUGCUUCAUAUACUGAUGUUUGGGAAAAAUGGUAUAUUCCAGACCCA
This 763-nucleotide small RNA is filed under the name Pongo abelii (Sumatran orangutan). RNAcentral's name for it is "processed transcript". The record is from RNAcentral. Lineage: Eukaryota; Metazoa; Chordata; Mammalia; Primates; Hominidae.